UCGUUUGGUUUUUUAAAUCUG
This 21-nucleotide non-coding RNA is filed under the name Caenorhabditis elegans. The record is from RNAcentral. Lineage: Eukaryota; Metazoa; Nematoda; Chromadorea; Rhabditida; Rhabditidae.